AGUGAACGCUGGCGGUAGGCCUAACACAUGCAAGUCGAACGGCAGCACAGUAAGAGCUUGCUCUUACGGGUGGCGAGUGGCGGACGGGUGAGGAAUACAUCGGAAUCUUCUUUUUCGUGGGUGAUAACGUAGGGCAACUUACGCUAAUACCGCAUACGACCUACGGGUGAAAGCAGGGGAUCUUCGGACCUUUCGCGAUUGAAUGAGCCGAUGUCGGAUUAGCUAGUUGGCGGGGUAAAGGCCCACCAAGGCGACGAUCCGUAGCUGGUCUGAGAGGAUGAUCAGCCACACUGGAACUGAGACACGGUCCAGACUCCUACGGGAGGCAGCAGUGGGGAAUAUUGGACAAUGGGCGCAAGCCUGAUCCAGCCAUACCGCGUGGGUGAAGAAGGCCUUCGGGUUGUAAAGCCCUUUUGUUGGGAAAGAAAAGCAGCAGGUUAAUACCCCGCUGUUCUGACGGUACCCAAAGAAUAAGCACCGGCUAACUUCGUG
RNAcentral lists this ribosomal RNA (492 nucleotides) under uncultured bacterium. RNAcentral's name for it is "partial 16S ribosomal RNA". It matches the Rfam family "Bacterial small subunit ribosomal RNA", at positions 29 to 507 of the family's 1533-position model. The record is from RNAcentral.